CCUACGGGAGGCAGCAGUGAGGAAUAUUGGUCAAUGGGCGCUAGCCUGAACCAGCCAAGUAGCGUGAAGGAUGACUGCCCUAUGGGUUGUAAACUUCUUUUAUAUGGGAAUAAAGUGCAGUAUGUAUACUGCUUUGCAUGUACCUUAUGAAUAAGGAUCGGCUAACUCCGUGCCAGCAGCCGCGGUAAUACGGAGGAUCCGAGCGUUAUCCGGAUUUAUUGGGUUUAAAGGGUGCGUAGGCGGGCCUUCAGGCCGGCGGUAAAAUUGCGGGGCUCAACCCCGCCGAGCCGUCGGAACCGGGGGCCUUGAGUACCGGAGAAGUACGCGGAAUGCGUGGUGUAGCGGUGAAAUGCAUAGAUAUCACGCAGAACCCCGAUUGCGAAGGCAGCGUACCGGCCGGUCACUGACGCUGAGGCACGAAAGCGCGGGUAUCGAACAGGAUUAGAUACCCUAGUAGUC
RNAcentral lists this ribosomal RNA (459 nucleotides) under uncultured bacterium. RNAcentral describes it as "partial 16S ribosomal RNA". It matches the Rfam family "Bacterial small subunit ribosomal RNA", at positions 338 to 795 of the family's 1533-position model. The record is from RNAcentral.